Molecule: long non-coding RNA, 1286 nt
Organism: Triplophysa rosa
Lineage: Eukaryota; Metazoa; Chordata; Actinopteri; Cypriniformes; Nemacheilidae
Exons: 2
Source: RefSeq, a predicted model, not a curated record
UGGGCUGAGGAGGAAGACACCAAAGACCCCGCUGAGACCACGUCUACGGAGACACGGUGACAAUAAAUGCACUGAUGGGCUUGACUGACAGAGGUGCCUUUCAGAUCUCCAGAAGACCUGCGGAGGAGACGUCAGCGUUUGGAUGUACAGUGCAGUCAUCCAUAAAGUAGAAAGCACUACUAAACCGCUCGCCACCGUGUAGUGUUUCCUACUUUAUGGAUGAGUGCACUGUUUGCUGCUGGGAGAACGUCGUGAGACGAAGACUUCACGCAGGAACGGAGAAAAGAGGAAGUCGCUUUGUUUCAUAAAGCCGUGCAGAUCUCACAGUGUGUUCAUGCAAGUCCACGUGAGAUGGCUGUACGCUUACAGAAACCAAGGCCAGCUUCCUCUCAACGUUUCACUGAUGUGUGUCUUGUUGUUCAAGUUUCAAUAAAAAACAAUUAAAAAAAGACAAAGAGUGUUUUUCUUUCGAGUCAAUCAAUCCCAACAAAAACUCAUAAGCAGACAUUUUACGUGAAAAUAUAUUUUAUUUCUGUAAAAAGUCCAUAUUGCAACAAGUCUUCAAGUUAAACUUUCCAAGAGCGCGGGACUGCUCACUUCACCAAUCCAAAAUCAUGACUCCGCCAUGCAAACACAAACCAAACACAAAGACUUUGAAGCAUUAUAUACAUGUUGGGGUUUCAAAAAAUCGUUACAAAAAUGUACAAAAUGUCCAGUCAACCUUCUGCCAAAGAUCCCAGACACAAGAAUAGAGUCUCUUUCUCACUAUAUGAAAAUAUUACACCUCAGAAUCACAAAAAUCCAUCAAACUCAACACAUAUACAGAAAAACCAGCAGCUCUCACGCUGCAGACGUGGCCGCCUCCGUAUUUCCUCAAAAAACAUUUACGUGCAUCUACAGUACUACAACUACACAUAGUUAGAAUAAAUAAGGCAGAAUAUAGAUGGAGGGCCAUCGUGCAUGCAGUCCACACAAGUCUGUACGUAAUAAAGUCCGGUAAGGCUAGGCCUGGGAUCGACUUGCUGAAAUAGCGAUGAAAACGUUCAAAUCUGCGGCCUGUGCGUGCUGUGGAGUUAAGCCGUGGCAGGGAUUACAGCGUGUUAUUCAGAUUAUAGUGCAGCUAGGAGGAAAGUCUCUACUGUAGAAAUGUGUCAUUUAGAUAUAAUCAAAACAAGCGUAUAAAUUCAUUGCCCUGUGGCUUUUCUCUUGGAAAAACAAAGUACGACUAUUGAGAAGAGUUGAAAGCUUGGCCUACUUCCGCUCCGUGAUGUUUGAACUUUAGCUCC